Molecule: ribosomal RNA, 432 nt
Filed under: uncultured bacterium
Lineage: Bacteria
Description: partial 16S ribosomal RNA
Rfam family: Bacterial small subunit ribosomal RNA
Source: RNAcentral
AACGAACGCUGGCGGCAUGCCUAACACAUGCGAGUCGAACGAGACCUUCGGGUCUAGUGGCGCACGGGUGCGUAACGCGUGGGAACCUGCCCUUAGGUUCGGAAUAACUCCCCGAAAGGGGUGCUAAUACCGGAUAAUGUCUUCGGACCAAAGAUUUAUCGCCUUUGGAUGGGCCCGCGUUGGAUUAGCUAGUUGGUAGGGUAAAAGCCUACCAAGGCGACGAUCCAUAGCUGGUCUGAGAGGAUGAUCAGCCACACUGGGACUGAGACACGGCCCAGACUCCUACGGGAGGCAGCAGUGGGGAAUAUGGGACAAUGGGCGAAAGCCUGAUCCAGCAAUGCCGCGGGAGUGAUGAAGGCCUUAGGGUUGUAAAGCUCUUUUACCCGGGAUGAUAAUGACAGUACCGGGAGAAUAAGCUCCGGCUAACUCCGG